RNAcentral lists this ribosomal RNA (326 nucleotides) under Corbicula sp. C2a. Its description in RNAcentral is "partial 28S ribosomal RNA". The record is from RNAcentral. Lineage: Eukaryota; Metazoa; Mollusca; Bivalvia; Venerida; Cyrenidae.
CCGGCCGCCCACGGAGCUCGCAAAGUUCGGAUCCGCAAGGACCGGGCCAGCGGGACGUCCGCGUGGCAGGGUGCACUUUCUCCGCGGUCGAGUGCUACGACCGGUUUCGCGGCGGUCAGAAGCCCGGCGGAAAGGUAGCGCCGCCCCUCGGGGUGUCGUGUUAUAGGCCGCCGCGGUGGACUCGCCGCGAGACCGAGGACGCUUGCCGCGCCGAGCGGUCCCGGGCCGUCUUGGGAGGUUCGACCUCGGCUGCACUGCUCCGCAGAGCACCGUAACCGCCGCCCUAGCACGGGUCCGGAGACUGCCGGCGCCUCGGGUCAGUAGCG